This 483-nucleotide ribosomal RNA is filed under the name uncultured bacterium. RNAcentral's name for it is "partial 16S ribosomal RNA". It matches the Rfam family "Bacterial small subunit ribosomal RNA", at positions 30 to 507 of the family's 1533-position model. The record is from RNAcentral.
AUUGAACGCUGGCGGCAGGCCUAACACAUGCAAGUCGAGCGGAUGAAGGGAGCUUGCUCCUGGAUUCAGCGGCGGACGGGUGAGUAAUGCCUAGGAAUCUGCCUGGUAGUGGGGGAUAACGUCCGGAAACGGGCGCUAAUACCGCAUACGUCCUGAGGGAGAAAGUGGGGGAUCUUCGGACCUCACGCUAUCAGAUGAGCCUAGGUCGGAUUAGCUAGUUGGUGGGGAAAGGCCUACCAAGGCGACGAUCCGUAACUGGUCUGAGAGGAUGAUCAGUCACACUGGAACUGAGACACGGUCCAGACUCCUACGGGAGGCAGCAGUGGGGAAUAUUGGACAAUGGGCGAAAGCCUGAUCCAGCCAUGCCGCGUGUGUGAAGAAGGUCUUCGGAUUGUAAAGCACUUUAAGUUGGGAGGAAGGGCAGUAAGUUAAUACCUUGCUGUUUUGACGUUACCAACAGAAUAAGCACCGGCUAACUUCGUG